Ficedula albicollis (Collared flycatcher) is the source of this 278-nucleotide long non-coding RNA. RefSeq lists it as uncharacterized. The record is from RefSeq and is a predicted model, not a curated record. Lineage: Eukaryota; Metazoa; Chordata; Aves; Passeriformes; Muscicapidae. The transcript is spliced from 2 exons.
CUGAGAGCCGCCGGGGACAGCAGGAGGCAGCGCCCGCCUGGAGAUACUCGUAGUCUGUAGCUGUGUCUGCCGAGAGGAGCCUGGAUUCCUGCGCGAGCCUCGGAUGAGAAUGAUCUUAGGAAAGCCUGGCAGCCUUUUGCAAAGUCUUUGAAGGGGACCAGGAGAACAGGCAGUGCUGCUUGGGAUGAGAGGAACAAUGGGACAUCCCCAGUCUGGAAAUCGCUGCUUUGGAGCUGCCAUCUGAUGUAUGGAUAUCCAUAAAAGAUCUAUCCAAUGCC